UCAAUUCGAAGCAACGCGCAGAACCUUACCAGCCCUUGACAUGUCCCGUAUGGGUUUCAGAGAUGAGAUCCUUCAGUUCGGCUGGCGGGAACACAGGUGCUGCAUGGCUGUCGUCAGCUCGUGUCGUGAGAUGUUGGGUUAAGUCCCGCAACGAGCGCAACCCUCGGCCUUAGUUGCCAUCAUUUAGUUGGGCACUCUAAGGCGACUGCCGGUGAUAAGCCGGAGGAAGGUGGGGAUGACGUCAAGUCCUCAUGGCCCUUACGGGCUGGGCUACACACGUGCUACAAUGGCGGUGACAGAGGGAUGCAACGGAGCAAUCCUGUGCAAAUCUCAAAAAGCCGUCUCAGUUCGGAUUGGGGUCUGCAACUCGACCCCAUGAAGUCGGAAUCGCUAGUAAUCGCAGAUCAGCACGCUGCGGUGAAUACGUUCCCGGGCCUUGUACACACCGCC
RNAcentral lists this ribosomal RNA (450 nucleotides) under uncultured bacterium. Its description in RNAcentral is "bacterial SSU rRNA". It matches the Rfam family "Bacterial small subunit ribosomal RNA", at positions 946 to 1394 of the family's 1533-position model. The record is from RNAcentral.